Molecule: long non-coding RNA, 503 nt
Organism: Stegodyphus dumicola
Lineage: Eukaryota; Metazoa; Arthropoda; Arachnida; Araneae; Eresidae
Source: RefSeq, a predicted model, not a curated record
UAGUAUUGUGAUUUAUUUCAGAUUACGUGAGCAAUGCUGAUUGUUACCGAUCUCUUCUUAGUACAGCGGAGGCAUGUGAAAAUCACGCAGGAUCCAUUUUUCAAACGUAUAAGCAGUACCAACAAUCAGAUACCGAGGAAAUGGAAGAAAUGAAAAAUGGACGUUACAGAUACUGUUUCGUACAAGCUUAUAAGGUAGCAUGCCUGUCCAUAAGAAUCAACCUGCAAUGCGGAGAGCUCGCCCGGAGCACAUUCCUGGAUAUAGUGCGGCGUUCCAAUCACUUGAAGCAAUACUGCUCGCAAACAAUCAAAGAGGACUUGCAGACACGUUUCUUGGAUUUCACUGGACUGGAGGGCGAACAAAGAGAACUCAUGGCUGACGCAUUCAAUUUCAAAAGGAAAUAAAAUUAAUAAAUAAUAUUUGCAUACAGCACGCUGUAAAAAUAUUUUUGUUUUUUUACUCCGUUGUACCGAUCUUUAAUAAAGCGGACUUUCAUUCUUUCA